GCCUUCCCUGGGAGGGGGUGUGUGUGCUGGCAGCAGACCUGUGGCAAAUGCCUUUGCAAUACUGCAAGCAGGGAGUAGAUCUGUUCAUGGUUUGGUACAGAAACACAGUGGAAGUCAGGUCCAGAGAACAGCUAUUUAAUUAAAGGUAGCAUGGCAGAUGAGACGGGAAUGCGUCGUGGUUCUAUGUAACAGGGUCAAAACCAUCUGGAAACCACGUCCAGCAACCUUAGCUUUGCAUACUUUUAAUACAGUAAAUACAACCAGAAAGAAAGUAUCUGACUUUUUUAAAUGGAUCUGUUGACCAUAAUUCAACUGAUCAGUUGUUGCAUGUUCAAAUUCUAACCAGACUUACUGUAGUGUGUUCUGUUCCCAAGGUCACCAAAGAUAGAGUGCAGCAUCUGGAAAGCCACCUACUCUAGCUUAUCCCUUGUGUGCUAGCUUUUUUUGAGGUUAAAGAAGUUGAUUGGUGACAAGAACCUUCUGUUUGGUUAAUUUAUGCUGAUGUGAAGUUGUGUGCUAGAAUGCUGGUAACUGAAGGAAGCAUUUCCAUGAUUUUCAGAUAAGCAAGAUGUACAUUAGAUGCAAUACCGCAUUGCGGUAUUUUGACCAAAAUCCUAGCAUACUGAUUUCCAUUUUAGUUCUGAUGAGCGCAGGCCUGAAGUGAAGUGGUAGGAGGGGAGAAGAGGAAUAGUAGAAAGUGCUAACACUUUGAAAAUACCUAGAAGACUUCUAAAAGAUAGAAAACCAAUGAAACCUUGGGACAGCCUACAGGCAAACCUAACUUGUCUCCAACAUGCAUCUAGUCUGGAAUUUCAUCGUACCUCUGAUUGAGGAAAGAAAGACCAAUUAACUCGGGAAAACAUGGAUUGCAUUACAUAUGCAUUCACUGCCAAAGGGGGAGAAUGUCGAUUACUUAACACAAAAGUGCUGGAGCCAUUAGUACAGCCUUUUAGAGUUGAAAUAAACAUGUGUAUUAUAUGCCUGUAAAUCCCGAUGGACAGCAUGACUGGUGUCAUAUUCCACAGUGGAUCCAUUAGCAAUAUAAUGUCAUCUAACCACAGGCCAUGCUAAUGGUUUAAAUUAGAAUGUGUGGGUGUUUUUUUAAUUUAUAAACGACACUGCUGUGCGAUUAAAAUAAACCUCUUCAGCACAGAACCGCUUCUUUCAUGAAAGCCUUUGUGAUGCAUCACUUCAAGCAAUAUCAGUGAAUGGGAAGGUGCGAAACUAAGAUUUCUGAGCGUGCAAGAACUAACAAAGGGUUCAGCCAAAUAAAAUGCAUUCAUGUAGUGCUUGAUAGCACAGAAAAAGGGACUGGAAUGUCUUAAAAAGCAACUGAAUUCCAAUUUUGGGCAGGUGACAAAGGACAUACAAUGGUAUGUCUGUGCAAACCUGAUUCAUAGCUGAAAAUAAUUGGCUCCACCAUGCUAUGGACAACAGUGCCCCACUGGUAGUAGUGAUGCUAAUUGCUAUGAGUAGAGAAAGGAGUAGUUGUCGCGGGUCCAACACAGAAAAGAAUGUGUGUAAAGCAAAAUCUAAAAAUCAAAACCAUGACCUCAGCACAGAAAACAGAAGGUAGUAUGAACUUGGGAGCUCUUACCCUCUUUCAUGAUUGCCUUAAAUGUCUCUGCCAAACAUAUGAAGGAUACUACUGGAGGUUUAAACCUUUUCCGAAGACACAGUGCUCGUGUCCUGUACAGCUUCCCACAUAAUUGAUCUAUCAAAGCACUUCACCAGAAGUCUGUGUUACACUGGAAUGCUACUGAUUCAUGUUCUCUUCUGGAGCUGGGGGACAGACUGCAGACCUUGAUGCUUUAUAGCUAACCAAUACCACUGUUCGCAGUGCUUCCCUUAAAGUUGUCCAUCUACUACUGUUUCCUUCUGAAAAUGCAGAUGUUUCUCUUUUCUCAUCUUUCAUAUCACUUAUGAGCUUAAAAAUUCAUGUUCAAGUGAAGAUAAACUGUUAAGUACAGUAAAUAAAGAGCUCCUUACAGA
This is a long non-coding RNA of Numida meleagris (helmeted guineafowl), 1992 nucleotides long. RefSeq lists it as uncharacterized. The record is from RefSeq and is a predicted model, not a curated record. NCBI's taxonomy places the organism in Eukaryota, Metazoa, Chordata, Aves, Galliformes, Numididae. The transcript has 3 exons.